GGGGCUGAUUCUGGAUUCGACGGGAUUUGCGAAACCCAAGGUGCAUGCCGAGGGGCGGUUGGCCUCGUAAAAAGCCGCAAAAAAUAGUCGCAAACGACGAAAACUACGCUUUAGCAGCUUAAUAACCUACUUAGAGCCCUCUCUCCCUAGCCUCCGCUCUUAGGACGGGGAUCAAGAGAGGUCAAACCCAAAAGAGAUCGCGUGGAAGCCCUGCCUGGGGUUGAAGCGUUAAAACUUAAUCAGGCUAGUUUGUUAGUGGCGUGUCCGUCCGCAGCUGGCAAGCGAAUGUAAAGACUGACUAAGCAUGUAGUACCGAGGACGUAGGAAUUUCGGACGCGGGUUCAACUCCCGCCAGCUCCACCA
RNAcentral lists this transfer-messenger RNA (363 nucleotides) under Escherichia coli. It matches the Rfam family "transfer-messenger RNA". From Rfam's summary of the family: Bacterial tmRNA, also known as 10Sa RNA or SsrA, is named for its dual tRNA and mRNA-like properties. The record is from RNAcentral. Lineage: Bacteria; Pseudomonadati; Pseudomonadota; Gammaproteobacteria; Enterobacterales; Enterobacteriaceae.